Long non-coding RNA from Hippopotamus amphibius kiboko, 893 nucleotides. RefSeq lists it as uncharacterized. The record is from RefSeq and is a predicted model, not a curated record. The transcript has 3 exons. Lineage: Eukaryota; Metazoa; Chordata; Mammalia; Artiodactyla; Hippopotamidae.
CAUGGUUUCAGUCCCUUUGUAAAAAUCACCUCUUCUCCCUUCCUCUCUGGAAUAGACGUUGGGAGUGAAAACAUGCAGCCUGGAGGCCUCCGGAACCCCUCGUAGCCAACCUUAAUUCUGCCCCAUUUAGGACAGGACCCCAGCACCCCGGAAACAAGCCUGGUGGCAGUGAAGACGCUCUGUGGACGGGGUGCCUGCGGACGCCGGUGGUCGGACGGAGCGGGAGACGCUGCCACGUUUGCUGGGAAAGCGGAACAGCUCCAGGCCCUGGGAAGCCGCGAGGGCUCCGUGAUAACGUGUCUUCAGACAGUGCUGCUCCGCUUUGAUUCAGAGAGCGGCGCCGGCACGACGGGGAAGAAACGCCAGUGACCGCUCGGCCCUCGUUCUAGAAAGGGAGCCAGCAUCCGUGUCUCCCACCGGAAAAGGCAAAGGUCCAGCAGUUUCACUUUGGUCUUUCUGGGAGAUGGGUCUUCCGUUUCUUAGCGGUUUGACAUCAACUAUCAACAACACGAGGUCGCAGGCCUGACAGUCCGCGUCCAAGUCUGGCCAGUCUAGCCAAUAGCUCAGGUCUGUGGUGUCCCCGAAACCCCCCGGCGGGGAGGCCGUGACGGGCAGGAGGAGGUCCACGCCGGCGUCAGGGUUUGGCCCUAGUUCUGCACACAUCCAGCCUCCACGUGCUGCCUGCCGAACAGCCACGGACGUGCAGUGCGGGCCCCGCGUCCGAGCAGGGCUCUGAGCCCUCUGUUCCCCGCGGCAUCCCCGCCCACGGCCCCGCCGGGAGCACAGAGACGCGCACGCGCCGUGCACGCGCGCACGGGAGGGCCGCCGGGUCGGGACUCAGCAGGCGGCCCGGGACGCGCAGAAGACAACGCACCGCACUUUCUGCCGGAAGA